UACGUAGGGGGCAAGCGUUGUCCGGAUUUAUUGGGCGUAAAGAGCGUGUAGGCGGCCAGAUAGGUCAGCUGUGAAAACUCGAGGCUCAACCUCGAGACGUCGGUUGAAACCAUCUGGCUAGAGUCCGGAAGAGGAGAGUGGAAUUCCCGGUGUAGUGGUGAAAUGCGUAGAUAUCGGGAGGAACACCAGUGGCGAAGGCGACUUCCUGGCCUGUUCUUGACGCUGAGGCGCGAAAGCUAGGGUAGCAAACGGG
RNAcentral lists this ribosomal RNA (253 nucleotides) under uncultured bacterium. RNAcentral's name for it is "partial 16S ribosomal RNA". It matches the Rfam family "Bacterial small subunit ribosomal RNA", at positions 524 to 776 of the family's 1533-position model. The record is from RNAcentral.